RNAcentral lists this unclassified non-coding RNA (687 nucleotides) under Hevea brasiliensis (rubber tree). Lineage: Eukaryota; Viridiplantae; Streptophyta; Magnoliopsida; Malpighiales; Euphorbiaceae. The record is from RNAcentral.
GAAAUAAGGAAAACUUAGCAUCAUGAUAAGAGACUAAAAUGAAUCACACAAAACAAGGACCAAGAACAUUCUGCAGUUACUAAGGGAAAAUAGAAAGACUUAGCUCACAUAAAACCACAAAAAAAGACUCAAGGGCCCAUAGAAAUAAACCAUAGCACGCAGACACCAAACCAAGAUAUCUCCAGUCGAAGUGAUGCACCCCCGAAGCUAAAAAUCAAUAGAAUGCGAGAGAAGAGAUCUUGAAGAUCAUCAGCUCCAACCCUUGCUUACACCAUCAUAUACACAAGAUAAAACGAAAGAAAUAAAUAGCAACUUAAAAAUAUUCAAUACUCUCCCUUUAAUAACUUUCUUCCAUUACUUGAUUCUCCAAACACAUCAAAGUUAUGGACCCUUCAUCAAAGUUAAAAUUCUUCCUUGGGCUUAUUGAUUCGCUUUGUACAAGCCUCUCCUUCCGUUUAAUUAGUUGUCCUGGAUUGCAUUAUCUGCAUACCAAUAAAAUCCAACACAUCCAGGAGCAGCCUGAAGAUCAAGAUCAACCGCAUCAAUGCUCGCCAACCCUUAGCGUUCCAAGUGAAAAAACAAAACAUCAUGGUAGGAAAAAAAUCAAAAGCACCUAGAAUGAGAUAGCAUAGCAACAACAGCUAUGAAGAAGAGUCAAUUCUUCGCUUUACAAAGUAACCUCUCGAC